Molecule: ribosomal RNA, 345 nt
Filed under: uncultured eukaryote
Lineage: Eukaryota
Description: SSU rRNA
Rfam family: Eukaryotic small subunit ribosomal RNA
Source: RNAcentral
AUAGCAUAUAUUAAAGUUGUUGCCGUUAAAAAGCUCGUAGUUGAACCUUGGACCUGGCUGAUCUGUCCUCCUAAUCGAGCGUACGGAUUCGGUCGGGUCUUUCCUUCUGGGGAGCCCUAUGCCCUUCACUGGGUGUAGCGGGGAACCAGGACUUUUACCUUGAAAAAAUUAGAGUGUUCAAAGCAGGCCUUUGCUCGAAUACAUUAGCAUGGAAUAAUAGAAUAGGACAUCGGUUCUAUUUUGUUGGUUUCUAGGACCGCUGUAAUGAUUAAUAGGGAUAGUCGGGGGCGUCCGUAUUCAAUUGUCAGAGGUGAAAUUCUGGGAUUUAUUGAAGACGAACUACUG